Long non-coding RNA from Cebus imitator (Panamanian white-faced capuchin), 531 nucleotides. RefSeq lists it as uncharacterized. NCBI's taxonomy places the organism in Eukaryota, Metazoa, Chordata, Mammalia, Primates, Cebidae. The transcript has 3 exons. The record is from RefSeq and is a predicted model, not a curated record.
CAAAUCCUCUCACAGUACAAGGUCAUCUCUAGUGCCUGCAAAGCCAAAGAGGUCAGCUUAUGUAAUACAGGAAAACAGGGCUUUAGACCUAAGAAGAAUCUGCCCAUGACUCUUGAAAUGCCACAAGGAAAACAGAACACCCUAAAAGGGGUGAGAAGACUGUGGCAUUGAAGAGGAUACAGCACUGUUAAGUGAUCCUAAAAAUCUAUGCAUAACAGACUAAUGAUCCCUGGUAAUUUGUGCAACUUUAUAAAAAUGCUCAGGAUCCAGGAGAGAAAACCAGCAAGAAAAACAGGGCAGAUCUCAGAUACGGAAGGGCAAAGAAUACUGCCAGGAACUAGGUUCUUUUGAAGACCCUGAAAAACAUACAACCACAAAUAUCAGCUAACCACUAAGAGACUGAAUCAGAAGGAUUGGAGACCAUUGGGGAAGUUUUUCCACUUUGUUGAAUCCUUUUAAAUAUAUCUUCUCAUUUCUAAGGCAUCAAUUUCUUCUGUCCUAGAAUUAUGUUUUCAUCAUUGGUUGCUUGUA